RNAcentral lists this transfer RNA (100 nucleotides) under Bacteroidota bacterium. RNAcentral describes it as "Bacteroidetes bacterium (grounwater metagenome) tRNA-OTHER". The record is from RNAcentral. Lineage: Bacteria; Pseudomonadati; Bacteroidota.
GUGGCGAAAUUGGUAGACGCACAUCCUAAAUACAUUCAGAUGGUGGAACUGAAUUACCUGGAUGUACCACUUGCAGGUUCGAAUCCUGUCCUGACCACCA